UGGCUCAGAUUGAACGCUGGCGGCAUGCCUUACACAUGCAAGUCGAACGGCAGCACGGGAGCUUGCUCCUGGUGGCGAGUGGCGAACGGGUGAGUAAUACAUCGGAACGUACCCUGAAGUGGGGAUAACGUAGCGAAAGUUACGCUAAUACCGCAUAUUCUGUGAGCAGGAAAGAGGGGGAUCGCAAGACCUCUUGCUUUAGGAGCGGCCGAUGUCGGAUUAGCUAGUUGGUGAGGUAAAGGCUCACCAAGGCGACGAUCCGUAGCGGGUCUGAGAGGAUGAUCCGCCACACUGGGACUGAGACACGGCCCAGACUCCUACGGGAGGCAGCAGUGGGGAAUUUUGGACAAUGGGCGCAAGCCUGAUCCAGCCAUGCCGCGUGAGUGAAGAAGGCCUUCGGGUUGUAAAGCUCUUUCGGUGGGAAGAAAUGGCACGGGUUAAUACCCUGUGUUGAUGACGGUACCGCAUAAGAAGCACCGGCUAACUACGUG
RNAcentral lists this ribosomal RNA (491 nucleotides) under uncultured bacterium. Its description in RNAcentral is "bacterial SSU rRNA". It matches the Rfam family "Bacterial small subunit ribosomal RNA", at positions 20 to 507 of the family's 1533-position model. The record is from RNAcentral.